This is a non-coding RNA of Pelobates cultripes (western spadefoot toad), 211 nucleotides long. NCBI's taxonomy places the organism in Eukaryota, Metazoa, Chordata, Amphibia, Anura, Pelobatidae. The record is from the annotation of a GenBank genome assembly.
UGGGACACUAGGGGACACUGAAAGACACAGGGAGACAUGGGACACUCCCAGUGUCCCCAUGUCUCCCAGCCAGUGUCCCUAGCAUCUCAGUAUCCCACCAUCUCCCAGUGUCCCUGGUUUAUCUCAGUGUCCGUAGUGUGCCAGUGUCCCUAGUAUCUUAGUGUUUCCUAGUCUCCCGGUGUCCCCAUGUCUCCUAGUGUCUCAGUGUCCC